GUUGUGGCUCAGUGGUGGAGCGCUUGCCUAGCAUGCUUGAGGCACUGGGUUCAGUCCCUAGCACCACA
This 68-nucleotide transfer RNA is filed under the name Marmota monax (woodchuck). RNAcentral describes it as "tRNA.Ala". The record is from RNAcentral. Lineage: Eukaryota; Metazoa; Chordata; Mammalia; Rodentia; Sciuridae.